UUUAGACUUGAGCGGAGAAACCAGAGAAGUGAGUUGCUGCCAUCGUUUGUGGAUGAUCAAAGGAGUCGAAUAAAUAAAUUUCACACAAAUUAACAGUGUGAUGAACUACAUUAGGUCGUACUAAACAUCCUAAUCUGGAAAUUCGAUCCCUUGCUUCGCGUUGUCAGAAAAUAUCAAGUUUGAUCAGGAAAGUACUUUUUGUCCUCCACGAUGCCACCAAGGUCAUCUUCAACCUUGCCAUUCAUGAGGUGCAUGACAUAAAAGAAAGGUAAAUGCAAUGUAGUAUUGGAUUUACUGAAUCUCACACUUCUCUUUGGUUUAAGGUGAAGAGGCUGAUUUGGACAAUGGGUGUCUCAUCCGAUUGAUUCAUUUUUUGAGGUAAUCUGCAUUGCUAUAAAGAGAUAUAAAUUGGUUCCCAGUUAAUAAACGGUAUGAAUCUCAAUCCUAGGCUCUCUACUGAAGACUUAUGGUUAGCAUGUUUUGACUAUUAUGUUUAAUGGUGUAAUACUACUUAUUUAUGAGCAAGGUAAUUUGGGUUUCAUUGGUUCUGUAUGUUACUUUACUCUAAACAUCGAACUUAGAAUUUUAGGAUUAUAAUAGCGUAACCUGGAAAUUUUGGUACAAAUUUAUUCUUCUUUUGUUCAUUGUAAUCCAUGUGUCAAAGAUUUCGUUUUGUUUGCUAGAUUUUCCUUUGAAUUUUUUAUUUUGGCAUGUUUAAUUUCUUUUAAAACAAAGUUUCAUGGUUCAAAAUGGAAAUUUUGGUACAAAUUUAUUCUUCUUUUGUUCAUUGUAAUCCAUGUGUCAAAGAUUUCGUUUUGUUUGCUAGAUUUUCCUUUUGAAUCUUUUUAUUUUGGCAUGUUUAAUUUCUUUUAGAACAAAGUUUCAUGGUUCAAAACGGUGCAUCAAUGAAUAUGAAUUUGUGGCACAAUGGUAGUGCGUCUGACAUUAAGUUAGAAGGUUGUGUGUUCAAUUCACACCAGAUUCAGUCUUCUAUAGUAAUCACUUUUGUAUUGCAUCCUUUACCCUAAGUUACAAGUAGUAAAAAAAGUACCAAAUAUGGACAUAGAAUUAACAUUGAUGAUUGAAUUAUGUUAUACCAGAUGAAUAAUGCACUACGCAUUCAUGCCACCACCAGUAUUAAUAAGUACAUUACAUCUUUUAUAGAUGAGGGAAACCUUCUUUUAGCUUUGUGAAUGGGUCACUAAUCACAAGUGAUCACAAAUUCUCUGAUAUUAGCUACUUCCAUACACCUAAUUCUCUCAUUAAAUUAUUUUGCAUUUGAUUCACCAACCUGUGUACUUUUAGCACUCAAGUUUUAAACGAAUUAAGUGCUGGGAGUCUACUUUCUAUACUGUUUGGAAUCGUAUCUUUGAGAUGCGGAGCGGGAAGAAAAAGGAGAAAUGAUAAAAUCUCCAAAAAUUAUGGAACUCAGUUCUCUAUUUCUAUUCUUGGGUGAAUACCUCUAGAACCCAGUUCCCUAUUUUGCACAUUGUGGCAAGUCAGCAAGGUAAAAUACAAGUCAGAAAAUUCUACUGAAAUUCUGUUUUCUUAUUUGUAGGUUACCUUAGUGCAGGUCUAUCCAAGCUACUGAAAUAUCCAAGUGAUGCUCAACUGUUCUCAAGGGGAAUAAGGCUUCUAUCAGAACGUACGACAAUGAGGAGGUUACUCAGAUAUUUAGGUACAGAAAUGAGGAAGUUAUCACGGACAUAACACAUACUAUAAGAAAAAGAUAUUGGUUUGAUCAGCUAUUUAUUUGUUGCUCUGCAAUAAGUUAGGAGUUCCCUUUUCCUCGAUUUUUUUCCAUGCAAGUGGUCGUCUUUUAAUAACUGUGGUUGAAACCUAUUUGGGACAUUUUUGCCUGGAGUUCACCCUUGCACUUGGUUCCAAAAGUCUGGAUUUCAAAAAGGUGGAGAUUAUAGGAAAGCACAUGAAUACUUUCAAAAACCUCAAACCUUGCAUUUUAGUGAACUUUGCCAUUUCAUGGUUAAUUUUUGUGCUAAGUCUGCAAUAGCCAAUAUCAAUAGUUGCGUACCAUAAUACCAAAUUGCGAAAUUUGCUAUAAAGAUGAUGUUCGAAAACUGAAGAAAAAAAGAAGCUGAUGAAGAGGUAAGCAAUACACAACCUAACAUGCAUCCACAUUAGUAAUUUCAUUAUCCCAUUGGCGAUGUUAUCACAUCAGGAAAUCUGUUGACAUUGCCUUGAAGAAGCCAUAAUAUGUCUAGAAAACCACAACAGGGUUAUGGAUACCAGAAUUGGGGUUUUGUUUACUUGAUUUGGAGCUCAAAAUUGUACACUUUUUCAAUUAAUAAAUUCACAGGUUAAAUAUCUAUCCAUCUUGCUUAUGUCUAUGAGAUGCGAGCCAUGUAGUGGCGCUUGCUUGGUUAUCUUGAAAAUAUAAAAUAAUAAAAAUUCACUUCUAUACCAGGGGUUGAUUUAUGAAACAAAGUUCUUUUUUCUUUGUGUUUCUUGGACAGGUUUAGUUAGUACAUACAUUCUAAUUUGAUAUAAAAUUCAUUGGAGGUUGUUUUUAGCUCCUUCGAACAAGUUCGACCAAGGAUACUCGCAUGUACCCCAAUUAGCAUACUAAUUUUCUGACACAUAUGUUGAACUUUUCUGUAAGACGAGGAAGGACCUCUAGUUAGGCACCUUGCAAGCUGCAACUUAACAGUGUGUGUACACAUAGGGUCAUUAGUUGUUACCAGAAGUGACACAAAUAGGAACUGGCAUUACAGUGCAGAGG
Papaver somniferum (opium poppy) is the source of this 2740-nucleotide long non-coding RNA. RefSeq lists it as uncharacterized. The record is from RefSeq and is a predicted model, not a curated record. The transcript has 5 exons. Lineage: Eukaryota; Viridiplantae; Streptophyta; Magnoliopsida; Ranunculales; Papaveraceae.